GCAAAUCAAACGGUGUGGAGGCAGACAUCAGUCAUCACUCAUCACCAUUGAGCUUGUUCAUAAGCUAGUGCUCAACCUGGAGCAAAAUGGUACCUGACAACAGCUCAGGUGGUGAUCGUCUGGCUAAACCGGCAGCCAAUCCACAGCCUAGGGAUGAUCAGCAGGUAACCCCAGAAGAAGUUGCAGAUAUGACAACUAGUACAAGUGAUGGGAACUGUUUUCACUGGCUUUGGAAUCUCAUCAAAACUAGAAUUACUGGUGCAUCUCAACAUUAUAGUCCUCUGCAUGAUCCUCGAUUUCGCCCAAUCAAUGAUCCACUAGACCCGGUCCAAGGGCUUGCUGCUUCUGAGAGAGGGUCAAGGGCGUGCUGCUUCUGAGAGAUAGAUUGUGUUUCGAGCUGGGGGACUUAAAUGUGUGCUCAAGUUAUUAUAUGAAAAGGAGAAAUUAAAAUCCAAAAUAAAGAGCUCAUUUAUGUGUGGAGUAUGGAACAUGGAUUUUUCACAUGUGGGCAGCCAAAUACCAGUUUGGUGUGUCCUAUGUAUGUACAUGUGUGAAUUGCACUCCUAAAGGACUGCAUGUAACUAUUCCUGCUUACUUCAAUAAACUCGUUGUGAAUUUGCACAACAAAUAGAUCGAAUA
This is a long non-coding RNA of Setaria italica (foxtail millet), 639 nucleotides long. RefSeq lists it as uncharacterized. The transcript has 2 exons. The record is from RefSeq and is a predicted model, not a curated record. NCBI's taxonomy places the organism in Eukaryota, Viridiplantae, Streptophyta, Magnoliopsida, Poales, Poaceae.